Molecule: ribosomal RNA, 322 nt
Filed under: Sandonidae sp.
Lineage: Eukaryota; Cercozoa; Glissomonadida; Sandonidae
Description: SSU rRNA
Rfam family: Eukaryotic small subunit ribosomal RNA (bases 112-322)
Source: RNAcentral
GAUUUCUGGCCUGAAACACUGAGCCGGCCGCGGUUUCGCGUGUCAGUGCUUAGUGUUCUGGCCAUCCUUCCAAUGGCUGCUCAUUCAUCUUCAUUGAUGGGUGAGUGGUAUUGGAUCUUUUACUUUGAAAAAAUUAGAGUGUUUCAAGCAGGCUUUAUGCUAUGAAUACAUUAGCAUGGAAUAAUAAUUUAGGACUUCGGUUCUAUUUUGUUGGUUUCUAGGACUGAAGUAAUGAUUGAUAGGGAUAGUUGGGGGUGCUAGUAUUCAGCGGCCAGAGGUGAAAUUCUCGGAUUCGCUGAAGACUAACUUAUGCGAAAGCAUU